UUCUCAGUUCGGAUUNUAGGCUGAAACUCGCCUACAUGAAGCUGGAGUUACUAGUAAUCGCAGAUCAGAAUGCUGCGGUGAAUGCGUUCCCGGGUCUUGUACACACCGCCCGUCACACCACGGAAGUUGGGGGCGCCCGAANCCACUUAGCUAACCCUUUUGGGAAGCGAGUGUCGAAGGUGAAAUCAAUAACUGGGGUGAAGUCGUAACAAGGUAAC
Molecule: ribosomal RNA, 218 nt
Filed under: uncultured bacterium
Lineage: Bacteria
Description: partial 16S ribosomal RNA
Rfam family: Bacterial small subunit ribosomal RNA
Source: RNAcentral